UCACCUGCAUGUUCCCAGAGAGAUGGGAGCCCCGAGCCAUCGGGGCAGGCUGUAAGGAAUCGACACGCUACAUCUGAACCCUAUUGAAAAAUAAUAAAAAGGUAAUGACUUUGUCAUUACUGGACAUGGGUUUGUCUGUUGGCACGGGGGGAGGCAGGGAGGUUUUCUGCAUUCAGGCCAUAAAUAACGUUUCCCAUUAUCCUCUGCAGUUCCCAUGCAUUCCUUAGCCCCUGCCUCGCCUCCGUUCCUCCCGGUGAACCCUGCGUGACAUCACGUUGGGCUGCUUGGGGUUCAGCCCAGGACACGUAUUGGACGGGAUCGGAUUUCAGGAAAGCCCACAGAUAAAUGGAAGUUGGUCACAAAGCCUGGCGGUGAAGCACAAACCGGUUAUUAAAAGGCCCAAAUAAAUGGUGGGGACUCCGUCUCGAAGCAAAAUCAGGGCGCAUCGGUGUUCAGUGCAAGGCACUCCAAAUUGCACACCUCGCUAGGUGGAGUUUGCUGGUGCAGAGGGGAUGGGAGGGCUGCAGAGGGCGGCUGGGAUGUGGAGCCUGCCUGGGAACAGCAGCACUUAAAGGUGUGCUUUCAAGUCAGUGUCCUGAGAUGUGAGAUGCCUACAAGGGUAUUUUUAAAACUGCAUUUAUAUAACUAGCUCGAUAUAAUUAAGGACUGAUUUCAGCUCAAACCAAAUAACUCCCUCUUGCACCCCGAUUCAAGUCUCCACACUGAGAAUUGCAUCUGUUGGACUAAAUUAGUUGGAAAACCAGGACAGCGUGAUGCUGUAAACAGACGUCGAGCUGCAGAGGAUAUUCCAGUUCUGUGUCCAGCUCUGCCACUGAUUCACCGUGUCCCUAGGCAAACCUCUUAAGUUUUCCCAUCUAUAAAGUGUAAUAAAACCUGUGUAGAUGCCAGGUGAUGCAGGGCUUAAUUAAUUAGCAAAUUAAUAUAAUGAACUCUAACUUGAAGGUCUGUAUCAGCACAAAUGAAUUGUUAAUAUAAAUUUUUAUUAUUUACUGCUAUUUAGUUGAUUAUUUUCUAACACCGGCAGGCUAUUACAAACAUACAACU
Molecule: long non-coding RNA, 1065 nt
Organism: Gallus gallus (chicken)
Lineage: Eukaryota; Metazoa; Chordata; Aves; Galliformes; Phasianidae
Source: Ensembl